UACGAAGGGGGCUAGCGUUGUUCGGAUUUACUGGGCGUAAAGCGCACGUAGGCGGAUCGUUAAGUCGGGGGUGAAAUCCUGGAGCUCAACUCCAGAACUGCCUUCGAUACUGGCGAUCUUGAGUCCGGAAGAGGUGAGUGGAAUUCCCGGUGUAGCGGUGAAAUGCGUAGAGAUCGGGAGGAACACCAGAGGCGAAAGCGGCGGCCUGGACAGGAACUGACACUCAACUACGAAAGCGUGGGGAGCAAACAGG
Molecule: ribosomal RNA, 253 nt
Filed under: uncultured bacterium
Lineage: Bacteria
Description: partial 16S ribosomal RNA
Rfam family: Bacterial small subunit ribosomal RNA
Source: RNAcentral